RNAcentral lists this long non-coding RNA (932 nucleotides) under Bos grunniens (domestic yak). RNAcentral's name for it is "lncRNA (ENSBGRG00000008059.1)". The record is from RNAcentral. Lineage: Eukaryota; Metazoa; Chordata; Mammalia; Artiodactyla; Bovidae.
AUGUUCGUUUAUUGCCUCCAGCUAGUUAAAAAUCAAUUCCCAAGUGAUAGCUUCCAAAGGGAAAGAUACACAUGUACUCCAGGAAAACACAAAUUACUUUUCACCUUUAGAUACGAAACAGGUCUCCUGCAGCUCCGGGUUCUGAUUUAUCCGCUGUCACAUCCGAAGCCCAUCCCCGCAGUCCCUUCCUGCACGUCAGGCUUCGCUGUUCGGAUCACGUCUAAGUUUUCAAGCCUACUGCACCCCUGAGCAGAGAGCUUCCCCUCAAGCCCCUCAGCUCCGACUUCCCAGCCUGACAACUGUUCAGGGGAGCUCUUGCGAUGCUGCACAGGGGGCGACCAGAUUCUCAGGGCCCAAAACAGCUGCCAGGCAAGCCUCUCUCUGUUGGCUCUUCUCCGAGCUCCUGGACACUGGCAGGAUCCUUAUGAUCAUCAUCUCAGACAGAAGAACAAGUGAGUUUUUGUUUUUAUUGCCUAUUAUUGUUCAUGUCGCUUAGGGCUGAGAUUGAGUUUUUAAAUCACAGUAGAUGCCUUUGAAGAAGCUUAGGACCAAAAGACAGACUUUCCCCCAAGGCCUAUAACCAGCUAGUGGCAGAGUUUGUAUUCAUUCCUGUCUCUACCACACCACCCUUUAUUUCUGUCUCUCUAUAGUGUCUACAUACUAGUUGCUCAACAAAUUGUUAACUGGUUUAAUCUGAUGCAGUUAAGUGAAUCAUCAUAUGAGUUAAUCUUGUCACAGCAUUCGGCUCUGCUGCAAAGCUCCUGCCCAGGGAGUAACUCCACUCAGACACGAGCCCCCUCAUCCCUCUUCUGAAGGCCGGCUGGAGCUGUGAGGAAGCCCAGGCUGCCAUCCCUACAUCCUUGAGACCAAGGGGCGGUGCAGCAGAGGAGAACCAUCCCCCCUGACCGUCUGUCCAACCUCUCUGGGUUCUG